RNAcentral lists this ribosomal RNA (165 nucleotides) under uncultured bacterium. RNAcentral's name for it is "partial 16S rRNA". It matches the Rfam family "Bacterial small subunit ribosomal RNA", at positions 355 to 511 of the family's 1533-position model. The record is from RNAcentral.
UAGGGAAUCUUCCACAAUGGGCGCAAGCCUGAUGGGGCAACACCGCGUGAGUGAAGAAGGGUUUCGGCUCGUAAAGCUCUGUUGUUGGAGAAGAACGUGCGUGAGAGUAACUGGUUCACGCAGUGACGGUAUCCAACCAGAAAGUCACGGCUAACUACGUGCCAC